RNAcentral lists this long non-coding RNA (407 nucleotides) under Homo sapiens (human). RNAcentral describes it as "HSALNT0281675". Lineage: Eukaryota; Metazoa; Chordata; Mammalia; Primates; Hominidae. The record is from RNAcentral.
GUUCAAGUUCAUGCUCAACUGUGGCUACUUCUCUGAACCCAAGAGGCCACCAGCCCCUAGCUGCCUUGGCCAUUGCUGGGGUGGGCAUUAACUGGGAUCUUGAGCCCCCGUUUCUGCUGAUGGUCGACAACUUAAACUUGCCAAGUCAAGGUGUAGUGGAGAUAGUCUCGGCAGAUGACAGUCCUCUGCAUCUUCAUCUUGGUCACCAUGCCAAAGAGGAUCCGCCCUCGAAUGGAGGCAUUACCAGUGAAGGGGCAUUUCUUGUCAAUGGUCACCUGGGCUGGAGUGCAGUGGUGUGGUGGUGCAAUCGCAGCUCACUGCAGCCUCGACUUUCUGGGCUCAAGCCAUCCUCCUGCCUGACUCUCCUGAGUAGCUGGGACUACAGACUCGUGCCACCAUGCCUGGCU